This is an RNA transcript of Branchiostoma belcheri (Belcher's lancelet), 2227 nucleotides long. It is a transcript of the gene named actin, non-muscle 6.2-like, with no coding region annotated. The transcript is spliced from 12 exons. Lineage: Eukaryota; Metazoa; Chordata; Leptocardii; Amphioxiformes; Branchiostomatidae. The record is from RefSeq and is a predicted model, not a curated record.
CAUCGACAUUCUUGCCUAUAUAUGGGCAUAUUUCUGGUGUCCCCACUUCAUUACCUGCACGACAUCACAAGCUACAGGUGCCUCCGCCAACUCUCCUCGGCAACUCACUCGAUAUCCAGGUUUUGACAAGUAAUCAAACACCAUGUGUGACGAAGAUGUUGCUGCUCUGGUUGUGGACAACGGGUCCGGGAUGUGUAAGGCCGGCUUCGCUGGGGAUGAUGCCCCGAGGGCCGUCUUCCCGUCCAUCGUGGGCAGGCCACGCCAUCAGGGUGUGAUGGUCGGUAUGGGCCAGAAGGACAGCUAUGUCGGUGACGAGGCUCAGAGCAAGAGGGGCAUCUUGACCUUGAAAUAUCCGAUCGAACACGGCAUCGUCACCAACUGGGACGACAUGGAGAAGAUCUGGCACCACACCUUCUACAACGAGCUGCGUGUCGCUCCCGAGGAGCAUCCUGUGCUUCUCACUGAAGCUCCGCUCAACCCCAAGGCUAACAGGGAGAAGAUGACACAGAUCAUGUUCGAGACCUUCAACAGCCCGGCCAUGUACGUGGCCAUCCAGGCCGUUCUGUCCCUGUACGCCUCCGGUCGGACGACUGGGAUCGUGCUGGACUCCGGGGAUGGUGUGUCCCACACGGUGCCCAUCUAUGAAGGCUACGCUCUCCCACAUGCCAUUCUUCGAAUGGACUUGGCAGGAAGGGACCUGACAGACUACAUGAUGAAGAUCUUGACUGAGAGGGGGUACUCUUUUACCACCACAGCCGAGAGAGAAAUCGUUCGUGACAUCAAGGAGAAGCUGGCCUACGUCGCCCUGGACUUCGAACAGGAGAUGGAAUCUGCUGCCCGGAGUUCCAGCCUGGAGAAGAGCUACGAGCUGCCUGAUGGUCAGGUCAUCACCAUCGGGAACGAGAGGUUCCGCUGCCCUGAGGCCCUUUUCCAGCCGUCCUUCCUCGGAAUGGAACAGAAUGGAGUUCACGAGACUACCUACAAUUCAGUCAUGAAGUGUGAUAUCGACAUCCGUAAGGACUUGUACGCCAACGCCGUCCUGUCCGGCGGUACAACCAUGUUUCCUGGCAUCGCAGACCGCAUGCAGAAGGAGAUCAGCGCCCUUGCUCCUCCAACCAUGAAGAUCAAGAUCAUCGCUCCUCCCGAGAGGAAGUACUCCGUGUGGAUCGGCGGGUCCAUCCUGGCCUCCCUGUCCACCUUCCAACAGAUGUGGAUCAGCAAGCAAGAGUACGACGAGUCGGGACCCUCCAUCGUCCACCGCAAAUGUUUUGACAAGUAAUCAAACAUGUGUGACGAAGAUGUUGCUGCUCUGGUUGUGGACAACGGGUCCGGGAUGUGUAAGGCCGGCUUCGCUGGGGAUGAUGCCCCAAGGGCCGUCUUCCCGUCCAUCGUGGGCAGGCCACGACAUCAGGGUGUGAUGGUCGGUAUGGGCCAGAAGGACAGCUAUGUCGGUGACGAGGCUCAGAGCAAGAGGGGCAUCUUGACCUUGAAAUACCCCAUCGAACACGGCAUCGUCACCAACUGGGACGACAUGGAGAAGAUCUGGCACCACACCUUCUACAACGAGCUGCGUGUCGCUCCCGAGGAGCAUCCUGUGCUUCUCACUGAAGCUCCGCUCAACCCCAAGGCUAACAGGGAGAAGAUGACACAGAUCAUGUUCGAGACCUUCAACAGCCCGGCCAUGUACGUGGCCAUCCAGGCCGUUCUGUCCCUGUACGCCUCCGGUCGGACGACUGGGAUCGUGCUGGACUCCGGGGAUGGUGUGUCCCACACGGUGCCCAUCUAUGAAGGCUACGCUCUCCCACAUGCCAUUCUCCGAAUGGACCUGGCAGGAAGGGACCUGACAGACUACAUGAUGAAGAUCUUGACUGAGAGGGGGUACUCUUUUACCACCACAGCCGAGAGAGAAAUCGUUCGUGACAUCAAGGAGAAGCUGGCCUACGUCGCCCUGGACUUCGAACAGAGGAUGGAAUCUGCUGCCCGGAGUUCCAGCCUGGAGAAGAGCUACGAGCUGCCUGAUGGUCAGGUCAUCACCAUCGGGAACGAGAGGUUCCGCUGCCCUGAGGCCCUUUUCCAGCCGUCCUUCCUCGGAAUGGAACAGAAUGGAGUUCACGAGACAACCUACAAUUCAGUCAUGAAGUGUGAUAUCGAUAUCCGUAAGGACCUGUACGCCAACGCCGUCCUGUCCGGCGGUACAACCAUGUUUCCUGGUAAGAGGCAGUCAUGA